CGAGGAAGUUGACAUGUCAUCACUUCAUUUUUUUGCGCCUGCGUAUAAAUCUGAGAAGCGUGAGUUUUCAUUAUUGUUUAUCUAGACAUAGGAUAGGUUGUGUGAAAAUAUUACUGAUGUUUAACGUUAAAAAUGGACCAAAAGAUUAAUGUUAAACAACAUUUGACAUGUUUGAACGGACGUAAAUAGAUUAUUUACUAGUUUUUUUUAGCUUUUCGGCGUGAUUUUACACUCCCCCCACCACGUUUUGUGGGAGCAUAAUGAACGCUAAGUACUUGGUGUUAUUUGGACAUAAAUUAUGAACUUUGUCAAAAGAAACCACAUUUGUUCCGGACCUGGGAUGCCUUCCGGACCUGGGAUGCCUGCCUUCUGAUGGAGAUAAUCAAAGGUUUCUGGAAGGACUGUGGGGGGAUGGACUGUGAGGGGAUGGCAGAGGCUCGCCUUGUAGGAGACUGUUGCUGAUUACUGCUGACGUGUGGUGGUCUCUAAGGCGCUUAUAGCUGACGAAGCAUCACCCAGGUGGGUGCUACACUUUUCAGUGGUGAAUCUGUAUCGACCGCGGGGGAGGAGUCGCUGUGAACUUCAGAGACAAAGGUGCCUGAUGAAUAGCUCCGGGGCCUGCCUGUCUGAAUAAUCUUACUCCCUAGCUGGCCAAUCGACACCAGCUUGACUAAAGCUUCUCCUGUACAUAACUGCAUCAUCGUCCAGCUGUGGAAGACCAUCUCCCCUGUAUUGCCAGCUCCCUGACAUCUUUUUUUUUUGUAUGUGACUGAGAAUCUGUACGAAAAGUGCUAUUAUUAUUAUUAAGAUCCUAUUAAAUUACUAGAGGCGCUAUGUUAUAAACCCUCAAAGUUCCAGAAUGGUAUGAAAAUGGCAGCCAUUGUGGUCAGGCAGAAAUCCAAACCAGUCUUAUUGGGAUGAAUGGCAGUAGAGGCAUAGGUGAUGCAUUCCUUCUUUUACUGAUGCAGGGAAAUAAAAGUAAGGCAUGUGCAGGGGUGUCAUUUCAGCUAAACCUAGGGUAUGGCAAAGUGCAGUGGGUGGGGUUUAAUGAAAUGAAAUCUAUGAAAUGUAUGCAUUCACUACUGUAAGUCGCUCUGGAUAAGAGCGUCUGCUAAAUGACUAAAAUGUAAAUGUAAUGUAUAUAUUGCCUAUGCCUGUCAUUAGUCACUUUAAAUAACGGCACUUUAAUAAUGUUUACAUAUCCUACAUCACUCAUCUCAAAUGUAUAUACUGCUCCAUGCCAUCUACUGCAUCUUGCCUAUGCCGCACGGCCAUCACUCAUCUAUAUAUUUAUAUGUACAUAUUCUUAUUCAUCCCUUACAUUUGUGUGUAUAUGGUAGUUGUUGUGAAUUUGUUAGAUUACUUGUUAGAUAUUACUGCAUUGUCGGAACUAGAAGCACAUGCAUUUCGCUACAGUCGCAUUAACAUCUGCUAACCAUGUGUAUGUGACCAAUACGAUUUUCUUUGAUUUGGAACAACCAUUUCAGUAACGGGUGCAGGAAUUCAAUGAUUGGAUUAGUUUAGAAAACAAUUAUUUAUCUUUGUGUAGCAUAACAUUUAAUAAACCAAUCACUCAAUGUACAUGCAAAAACACAUGAAAACUAUUCCGAAAAAAUCUACCCGCGUUAGAGUUCAAAAUACCUUGGGAAUUACAGUGUAGCAGCAACAGCCUAUCAGAAGAUUGCAGGUGUGGCUUAUUAAAGUGGCAUUCAGCUGGCUCUUUUUGGUCUCCCAUGAGAGGGAAUUUUGUCCCAGUUAAUCUACUCUGUUGUAUUCUGUUCAUGAACAUUAAGCUUGAACAUGGUUAGUUCUCCAGCCUUGUUAAAGGCUAACAUAAGUGCAUGUGAUACCAAAGACCCAUACAAUAUUUCAUUUAUAGAUAGUUACCAUGUCAUUGUAAUAACCACUUCUCGGCUACACCAUCAGGUCAGUGAGUGACAGAUUAGCUACAGUAAAUUACUGUGAAUUCUAUAAUAACACACUUGUAACUAUUAGAAAUGAAGUUAUUGAAAACUAAACAUUACAUUUGUGUGUACCAGCUGCCAAUAAUCUACAGGAAAAUGCAUAGUAAGUUCUUAACAGUGCAACUCUGGAUUGUCACCAAGUACUUACACCAAUUGAAGAACUGUCAAAAGAUGUGCUCAACUUUCAUCAACAUAACGAUACACCCGUUAAACUGGUACAACAUUUCCACUGACGGAUGGCACAAACAUGUUUUAGACAAAAAUGCUAAUGAGCCCCACCAGUACAUUGCCCCUACCGACAUUUCAAAGUGCAGAAAUGAUUGUACCUUAUAUCGAAUUUAUUGGGUAGAAAAUGUACCUUUAUACUAGAUUAUCUGCACAUGUACCCUUAAUGGUACUGACCAAGUGGCACAGUGCUGAGGUGCCACUACAGCCUGGGUCACAGCUGACCGGAAGCUCUGUAGGAAGGCACACAAUUGUGCCGUCCGGUUUAGGGGAGGGUUUGGCUCAUUGUGCUCUUGCUAGUUCUUGUGGCAGGCCAUGUGCCUGCAAGCUGACGUCAGUUGAACGGCGUUUCCUCCGACCCGCACUGCUACUUUUUCAUUGGUGUUGUCAAAUAAUCACACAAUUAUUGACUUGAUUCUAGGCAACCUUUAGCAGUGCAGAAAUGUAUUCUUGCCAAUAAAUCUGUGGCCGAUCUCUGUCAUGGCCACAGACCUGGUGGCGUGGUAGGAAAUCCAGGUUGCUAGUAUCCCCUUUACAUAAAAAAAAAAAUUUCACGUGGAAAAUCACAAGAUUUCACAUGUGAAAUGUCACAUUUGAAGUGCCACAUGUGAAGUGUUCCAAAAACACGUUUUCACAUGAAAUGUCACAUGUGAAGGGUUAAAAAAAGUUUUAAUGGCCACUCACCUGGUGGCGUAGCAAGAAAUUCAUGUUGCAAGAAAUUCAUCCCCCUUAUGGAAAAAAACAUGUGAAAUCAUGUGAAAACGUGUUUUUGGAACACUUCACAUGUGACAUUUCAAAUAUGAAACUAUGUGUUUUGAAACUCUUCACGUGACAUUUUUGAAUGUUACAUGCGCAAGUACAGUGAAAUGCCUUUCUUCCAAGCUCUGACCCAAUCAAUGCAGUUAACAAUAACUAUGUAAUACAAAAAAUAACAAGGUAGAACAAAAACAUGAGAAAACAUGAGAUAUAAAAAUAAGAAAUAAGAAGAACAUGAUAAAGUAACUAAGUAUACAAUAUACAGGGUCAGCACAUUUACAAUGUGCAAGGAUACUGGAUUGAUAUGUAUAAGGGUACGGUGACAAGGCAUCAGGAUAUAUGAUAAACAGAGUAGCAGGAGUAUAUAUGAUAAUUGUAUGUGAGUGGGUGUAUGUAGAGUCAGUAUUAUAAAUGUAUGUGCAAAUUAUGGAAUGAGUGUUUGUAUGUGUGAGUAUCCUGUAUGUGUGAGUAUCCCCUGUGAUGUACUUGCCUGUCCGCACUACCCUUUGUAGUGUCGUGCAAUAGAGGUCGGUGUUAUUGCCAUACCAAGCAGUGAUACAGCUGUAAACCUUUUUGAGGAUUUGAGGUCCCAUGCCAAACCUUUUCAUCCUCCUGAGGGGGAAUAGGCCCUGUCGCGCCUUCUUCACGAUUGUGUGCGUGAGUGUGGACCAUUUUAAGUUCUUAGUGAUUUGUACAUCAAGGAACUUGAAGCUCUCGUCCCGCUCCACUGCAGCCUGGUCAAUGUGGAUGGGGGCGUGCUCGCCCUACCGUUUCCUGUAGUCCACGAUCAGCUCCUUGGUCUUACUGACAUUGAGAGAGAGGUUGUUGUUCCGUCCCCACAAUGCCAGGUCACUGACUUCCUCCCUGUAGGCUGUCUCAUCGUCGCCGGGGAUCAGGCCUACCACCGUCGUACCGUCAGAAAACUUGAUAUUGUUGGAGUCAUUGGUGGCCACACUGUUGUGGGUGAACAGGAAGGACAGGAGGGGACUAAGCACACACCUCUGUGGGGCCCCUGUGUUGAGGGUCAACAUGGCGGUGGUAAUCUUGCCUACCCUCACCACCUGGGGUCGGCCCAGGAAGUCCAGGAUCCAGUUGCCGAACGAGGUGUUCAGGGUCCUAUGCUUUGUGUCGAGCUUGGAGGGGACAAUGGUGCUGAAUACUGAGCUGUAGUCAAUGAACAGCAUUCUCACAUAGGUAUUCCUCUUAAUGUCUAUGGAUCUGUUGGGGCGGUAUGCAAAUUGGAGUGGGUCUAGGGUGUCUGGGAUGAUGGAGUGGAUGUGUGCCAUAACCAGCCUCUCAAAGCACUUCAUGAUUACAGAUGUGAGUGCUAAAGGGUGGUCGUCAUUGUGGCAUGAAGCCUUAGAGUUCUUGGGAACAGGAAUGAUGGUGGUCAUCUUAAAACAUGUAGGGAUUACAGACUGGGACAAGGAGAGGUUGAAAUUUACCAUGAAUAUACUUUCCAGCUGUUCUGCGCAUGUUCUGAGAAUACAAUCGGGCCCCUGGAAUACAAUCAGGCCCCGCGGCCUUGCGGGUAUUGACCUGAUUAAAGACUCAUGUCGGCCUCUAAGAGUGGAUCACCCAAUCUUCUUGGUCAGUGGCGGCCCUCACAUCCGGCAUGAUGUUGUUAUUAUCGAAGCGUGCAUAAAAUGAUUUGAGUUCGUCUGGUAGAGAGGCAUCGUUGGGCAGAUCACAGCUGUGUCGUCCUUUGUAAUCCAUAAUGGAUUGCCAUAUGCGGUGGGCGGCGGAGCCUGUGUAAUAUGGUUCCACCUUAUUCCUAUAUUGUGCUUUUGCUCGCUGUGGAGGUCAUAGCGGGACUUUUGUACUAGUUUCUGUCCUCAGCUGUAGCCUCAGGGUUGUCUGCGAUAGCCCUGUGUGCGGUAGCCGUAUCCUUUAGUUUAGCACCAACCUCAGUGGUAAUCCAGGGCUUUUGAUUGGGGAAGCAGCAAACCUUAACUGUGGGGACAACGUCGCCAAUGCAUUUCCUAAUGAAGCCGGUGAUGGAGGUGGUUAGCUUGUUGUCUGUCGAUGUUAUCAGCGGAGUACCGAAUCAGCGCUAGCAAAGCAGUUCUCCAGCAUAAUCUCUCAUUCUGGAGACAAUUUCUCAAUGGAGUGAAUCAUGGGUAAUUCCUGUUUGAGCCUCUGCUUGUAAAUAGGAAGCAGGAGUACAGAGUAUGCUUGCUCGUGGGUAGAAUAACAGUGGACUUUAUCACCCCUAGUGGUGAGAGAGACGUGUUGACGGCAGUCGGGCAUUACGUGUCUUAAUGACGUGGAAUUAAAAUCGUAGGUCAGCUUGUUAUUUUUCUUGUCUUGAGUUGGAAUGUAUAGAACAGUCAUAGCUGAAAACUGUGGGAGGUUAAAGGUUCGGGCAUUUCACUAUUCCAAGAUGGGUGAACAAUGGGUCGACACUUCCACUGCGCUUGAGUCAGCACACCAGUUGUUGUUGAUGAAGAGGCAAACCGCUCUACCCUCUAUUUUCCUGACUCCACUGUCCUGUCUGCACAGUGAAUGGAAAAUCCAUAAAAUUGAACAGCCAUGGAGGGUAUCUUAUCUGAAAGACAUGUUUCAGAAAAGCAGAGAAUGUUGCAGUUUCUAGAGUCCUGUUGGUAGCAAAUCCGCAAUCGGAGAUCAUCUAUCUUAUUAUCAAGUGACUGGCCAGUAGAAUGGAGGGAAGAGGUGACCGGUUGUCCCUUUGCCUUAAUCUCACCAGGAUCCCCCAUCUGCGUUUCCUCUUGGGAUGCCCAAAAAUUGGGUCGGAAUUAUAGAAAGAGCAGAUGAGUCAAAGUCGAAGCUGAAGCUGGAAUAGCUGGAAACUAUGAAAUAGCACAUAUGGAAUCAUGUAAUAACCAAAAAACAAAUCCAAAUAUAUUUUAUAUUCGAUAUUCUUCAAAGUAGCCUCCCUUUGCCUUGAUGACAGCUUUGCACACUCUUGGCAUUCUCUCAACCAGCUUCAUGAGGUAGUCACCUGGAAUGCAUUUCAAUUAACAGGUGUGCCUUGUUAAAGGUUAAUUUGUGGAAUUUCGUUUGAGCCGAUCAGUUGUGUUGUGACCAAGUAGGGGUGGUAUACAGAAGAUUAUGGCAAGAACAGCUCAAAUAAGCAAAGAGAAACGACAGUCCAUCAUUAUUUUAAGACAUGAAGGUCAGUCAAUCCGGAAAAUGUCAAGAACUUUUAAAGUUUUUUCAAGUGCAGUCACAAAAAUCAUCAAGCUCUAUGAUGAAACUGUCUCUCAUGAGGACCGCCGUGUGAAAUCAUGUGUUUUUUCCACAAAGGAAAGUUAAAAUUGUGUGUGAAAUAAUUCAUGUACAGUAGGCUAUAGGGGAAAAAUCCUUAGAAUUGAGCUUUUACUCUCCUUCUGUUUAAGACCCAUGAAAUGUUUUUCUUGGCCCGGGAAACAGUUACAGAGUUCAGACAGAAAGAAAGAUCUCACCAGAUUUCAUCACCAAUCAGACGUCAUACUCUUAUAAGUGUGCCCAUGUGUCAAUUAGUGAUACUAAUCAGAGUUAAACAGACUUACGUUUCUACAUCCAGACAGAGUAGAAUCGACUUAAUGUGCCGAGCAUGUUAAUUACCCUGUGACAAGGGACCGUAACCUCUGACCCUCCUGAUAUGGAAUUGUGUAGACACUCACGUCAGUGUGAGAGAUAUAUAACAGUGUGUGAGAUAUAAUAGCCAGCCAGAUAUCCAUGACUGCUGUUACAUGUUCGAUUAAGGGCUAAUGUCAGAGUCUGGGGUGUUGUUUAAAUGCUGGGAUUAUUAAAAGAGAAGUGAUCUGACAUUAGAUGGGAAAACACAUUUCCAUUAGCUGUCUGGUAUAAUUACGCUGUGGGAGUAUAUCACAGGUGAAGUGCUACUGAUGUGACAUUAUAAUGAACGGGCCUCUCCUCUCUGCUCCAUCCAAACUAUUUUUAGAACAAAGUUAUGCAGCAUUAGUAAAGAUAUGAUCAAUAAAGAUAUAGUUCCUGUUCUGUUUGUAAAUGCUCUGGUGGGUUAUAAUAGCUCUAUCCAGCUAAUAGCUCUAUCCAGCAUCUAUAAUAGCUCUAUCCAGCAUAUCGGACUGCUUUUUUACCCCCACUACAUCACCGGAUUCCUGCCGCAAGCUCUGGACCAUUACAAUGGAUCAUCGCAGCUAGCUAGCUGCUACCGAGUGGCUAUCGUGACUAACGCCCUUGUCCAGAAGCAAGCACCAGUUAGCCUCGAGCUAGGCCCAUUCCCCCGGCUAGCAAACGUACACCAACUACAAUACCUCUCUUGCCAAUUGGCCUGGAUCCUUUGUCGACACGGAGCCCCACCGAUCCAUCACGACUGGCCUGCUGACGUAUUUCGGCCGAUGUGCUCUCAACCGGCCUCUGCGUCGUUGAUGUCGGUGAGGACCCAGCUACUAGCCCCGGCCUGCUAACUCUCUAAGCGCCGUGUCUCCCGCUCGCCCAGCCUGUUUCGUCCAUUGCUGCUUAUUGGAUCCUAUGAUCACUCAGCUACACAGCUGAUGCCUACUGGACUGUUAAUUAACACGGUACUUAUUUUUGUUAAUCUGUCGGCCCCAGCCUUGAACUCAGGUCCUGUGUGUAGCUAACUGACCCUCUCUGCCCAUUCAUCGCCAUUUACCCGUUGUUGUCGUCUUAGCUGUUUAGCCGUUGUUGUCUUAGCCCUCCCAAUCAACACCUGUGAUUGCUUUAUGCCUCCCUCUAAUGUCAAUAUGCCUUGUAUACUGUUGUUUAGGGUAGCUCUCAUUGUUUUGUUUUACUGCGGAGCCCCUAAUCCCGCUCUACAUUCCUCGGUUAGCUCCCUUGCCCCACCCCCCCACACAUGCGGAGACCGCACCUAGCUUAACUGGCGCUUCCAGAGAUUCAGCCUCUCUCAUCGUCACUCAAUGCCUAGGUUUACCUCCACUGUACUCACACCCUACCAUGCCUUUGUCUGUGCAUUAUGCCCUGAAUCUAUCCCACCACGCCCAGAAGUCUGCUCCUUUUACUCUCUGUUCCGAACGCACUAGACGACCAGUUCUUAUAGCCGUUAGCAGUACCCUUAUCCUACUCCUGUCACACCCUGACCUUAGAUUGCUGUUUAUUUUCACUAUUUUGGUUAGGUCAGGGUGUGAUUUGGGUGGGCAUUCUACAUUUUGUAUUUCUAUGUUUAUUCUAUGAUUUCUAUUUCUAUGUUGUUAGUUUCUAGUUUUGUAUUUCUCUGUUGUUUUGUUUGGGAUGAUCUCCAAUUAGAGGCAGCUGGUCCUUGUUGUCUCUAAUUGGAGAUCAUAUUUAAGUAGGUUUUUUUUCCACUUUCAGUUGUGGGAUCUUGUUUUUGCACAGCUCUGUAAAUCCUGACAGAACUGUGAGCUGAUCGUUUUCGCUUUUGUUAUUUUCUUUAGUGUUCUGUGUUAAAAUAAAAAGUCAUUAUGAGCACUCAACACCCUGUGCUUUGGUCCCCUCGGUACGACAGCCGUUACAACUCCUCCUCUGUUCCUCUGGUGAUGUAGAGGUUAACCCAGGCCCUGUGUGUCCCCAGGUGCUAUCAUUUGUUGACUUCUGUAACCGGAAAAGCCUUGGGUUCAUGCAUGCUUUUCAACCGAUCGCUGCCCGCACCCACCCGCCCGCCUAGCAUCACUACUCUGGAUGGUUCUGACUUAGAAUAUAUGGACAACUACAAAUACCUAGGUGUCUGGUUAGACUGUAAACUCUCCUUCCAGACUCAUAUUAAGCAUCUCCAAUCCAAAAUUAAAUCUAGAAUCGGCUUCCUAUUUCACAACAAAGCCUCCUUCACUCAUGCUGCCAAACAUACCCUCGUAAAACUGACUAUCCUGCCUAUCCUUGACUUCGGCGAUGUCACUGGCUCCAGGUCAUCUAUAAGUCUUUGCUAGGUAAAGCCUUAUCUCAGCUCACUGGUCACCAUAGCAACACCCACCCGUAGCACGCGCUCCAGCAGGUAUAUCUCACUGGUCAUCCCCAAAGCCAACACCUCUUUGGCCGCCUUUCCUUCCAGUUCUCUGCUGCCAAUGACUGGAACGAAUUGCAAAAAUCACUGAAGUUGGAGACAUUUCUCACUCACUAACUUCAAGCAUCGGCUGUCAGAGCAGCUUACUGAUCCCUGUAGCUGUACCCAGCCCAUCUGUAAAUAGCCCAUCCAACCAACUACCUUCCUCAUCCCCAUAUUUGUUUUUGUUUUUUUUCUGCUCAAAAGAGCAGUAUUUCUACUUGCACAUCCUCAUCUGCAUAUCUAUCACUCAAGUGUCCAUUGCUAAAUUGUAAUUACUUCGCCACUAUGGCCUAUUUAUUGCCUUACCUCCUUACUUCAUUUGCACACACUGUAUACAGAUUUUCUAUUGUGUUAUUGCCUGUAUGUUUGAUUAUCCCAUGUGUAACUCUGUGUUGUUGUUUUUGUCGCACUGCUUUGCUUUAUCUUGGCCAGGUCGCAGUUGUAAAUGAGAACUUGUUCUCAGCUGGCCUACCUGGUUAAAUAAAGGUGAAAUAAAAAACGUACAAAAUACAAUUUGAGUAAUAGUCUUCACUAUCAACAGUAUUGAUGGAAUUAGAUCAAACAAUCCAUAGAGAUAAAGCUUUUAUCAACCUACCAGUGUGUUUACAAAAAAGUACAGGAACUACAUCAUACAAGUGUAUUGAUCAUAUCUUUACUAAUGCUGCAGAACUUUGUUCUAAAGCUGUAUCCACACCCAUUUGAUGUAGUGACCAUAAUAUAGUGGCUAUAUCCAGAAAAGCCAAGGUUCCAAAGGCUGAGCCUUAAAUAUUCUAUAAAAGAUCAUAAACAAGGUUUUCUUAUGUUGAAUGUAAAUAUGAUUUGGUAGCCUGAUGUGCCUAAUGAGGAGCAUCCUGGCACUGCACUUGAUGCAUUUAUGAAAUUGUUACUUUCAGUUAUCAAUAAGCAUGUUAACUGAGUCAGGAAACUGACUGUUAAAACUGUUAAGGCCCCCCUGGAUUGAUAAGGAAUUGAAAAACUGUAUGGUUGAGAGAAAUCAAGCAAAGGGAGUGGCGAAUACGUCUGGCUGCACAUCUGAUUGGAAGACAUAUUGUAAAUUGAGAAAUUACGGGACUAACCUGAAUAUUUUAUAAUGAAAUUAAGAUAAAUUAUAUAAAGUAGGAUGGAAAAAAGCUUUGGAGUACUUUAAAUGAAAUUAUGGGCAGAGAGACUAAUUCAACUUCAUCUUUCAUUGCAUGUCACGGCUGUUUGAAUGAGCGGACCAAGAUGCAGUGUUUUCGUAGUUCCACAUGUUUUUAUUAAAUCAGUGAAACCGAAUGCAACAAUUAACACUUUAAGUAAAUACAAAACCACAAACCGUGACGCUGGAGGAACAUAAACCUCACGAAG
RNAcentral lists this long non-coding RNA (10257 nucleotides) under Salmo salar (Atlantic salmon). RNAcentral's name for it is "lncRNA (ENSSSAG00000095111.1)". The stretch from base 1072 to 1125 matches the Rfam family "UnaL2 LINE 3' element". Lineage: Eukaryota; Metazoa; Chordata; Actinopteri; Salmoniformes; Salmonidae. The record is from RNAcentral.